CCUACGGGUGGCAGCAGUGAGGAAUAUUGGUCAAUGGCCGUAAGGCUGAACCAGCCAAGUAGCGUGAGGGAAGACUGCCCUAUGGGUUGUAAACCUCUUUUAUGCGGGGAUAAAGGUGUCCACGUGUGGAGGUUUGCAGGGACCGCACGAAUAAGGACCGGCUAAUUCCGUGCCAGCAGCCGCGGUAAUACGGAAGGUCCGGGCGUUAUCCGGAUUUAUUGGGUUUAAAGGGAGCGGAGGCAGGUCUUUAAGCUUGCCUGUAAAUUUUGUGGCUCAACCAUGUGAGGGCGGCGCGAACGGGAGGCCUUGAGUGCGCAGCAGGCAGGCGGAAUUCGUGGUGUAGCGGUGAAAUGCUUAGAUAUCACGAAGAACCCCGAUUGCGAAGGCAGCCUGCCGCGGCGUUACUGACGCUGAAGCUCGAAAGCGCGGUUAUCGAACAGGAUUAGAUACCCGGGUAGUC
RNAcentral lists this ribosomal RNA (460 nucleotides) under uncultured bacterium. RNAcentral's name for it is "partial 16S ribosomal RNA". It matches the Rfam family "Bacterial small subunit ribosomal RNA", at positions 338 to 795 of the family's 1533-position model. The record is from RNAcentral.